RNAcentral lists this long non-coding RNA (279 nucleotides) under Elaeis guineensis (African oil palm). RNAcentral's name for it is "long non-coding RNA (EGUI_LNC001798)". The record is from RNAcentral. Lineage: Eukaryota; Viridiplantae; Streptophyta; Magnoliopsida; Arecales; Arecaceae.
UAAAGGUCAGACUUAAUUCUAUGACUCGUAAGGGGAGAUUGGAUGCUGUUGUUGUAAAGCACAAUCAUGUGCUCUUCAUAUCUACUGUUGCUUAUCUAAGGUCUCACAGGAAGAUCAGUACACUAGAAAAGACUGAGAUUUGCAAUAUGCAUGUCGUGAAUAUACCUACAACUCAGAUAUACUCCAUCAUUACAAGAAGAAAAGGUGGUAGAAGAUAAUUAAAAUUCACAGAGAAUGAUGCACAUAAUUUAAUUUGUUGAAAAUAUCAAAGUCAGCUGA